This 354-nucleotide ribosomal RNA is filed under the name uncultured bacterium. RNAcentral's name for it is "bacterial SSU rRNA". It matches the Rfam family "Bacterial small subunit ribosomal RNA", at positions 1 to 334 of the family's 1533-position model. The record is from RNAcentral.
UAGAGUACUUCAGAGUUUGAUCCUGGCUCAGGAUAAACGCUGGCGGCGUGCAUAACACAUGCAAGUCGAACGAUGAAGUUUUUAUGAAUUCUUCGGAAUGAUUAAAAAUGGAUUAGUGGCGGACGGGUGAGUAACACGUGAGUAACCUGCCUUGUACAAGGGGAUAGCCGUUGGAAACGACGAAUAAUACCCUAUGACAUCAAAUAAUCGCAUGAUAAUUUGAUCAAAGAUUUAUCGGUAUAAGAUGGACUCGCGUCUGAUUAGCUAGUUGGUAGGGUAAAAGCCUACCAAGGCGACGAUCAGUAGCCGGCUUGAGAGAGUGUACGGCCACAUUGGGACUGAGACACGGCCCAG